UCGAGGAUCUUUGGCAAUGGGCGCAAGCCUGACCAAGCGACGCCGCGUGAGCGAUGAAGGCCUUCGGGUUGUAAAGCUCUGUCGAGGGGGAGGAAGCCGCAAGGUUGACCUAUCCCUGGAGGAAGGACGGGCUAAGUUCGUGCCAGCAGCCGCGGUAAGACGAACCGUCCAAACGUUAUUCGGAAUCACUGGGCUUAAAGGGCGCGUAGGUGGGUUGGCCAGUCUAUGGUGAAAUCCUCCGGCUUAACCGGAGAACUGCCGUGGAUACUGCCAGUCUCGAGGAGGGUAGGGGCGUCUGGAACUAGCGGUGGAGCGGUGAAAUGCGUUGAUAUCGCUAGGAACUCCGGUGGCGAAGGCGAGACGCUGGACCCUUUCUGACACUGAGGCGCGAAAGCCAGGGGAGCGAACGGGAUUAGAUACCCCCGUAGUCC
Molecule: ribosomal RNA, 431 nt
Filed under: uncultured bacterium
Lineage: Bacteria
Description: bacterial SSU rRNA
Rfam family: Bacterial small subunit ribosomal RNA
Source: RNAcentral